Molecule: ribosomal RNA, 490 nt
Filed under: uncultured bacterium
Lineage: Bacteria
Description: partial 16S ribosomal RNA
Rfam family: Bacterial small subunit ribosomal RNA
Source: RNAcentral
AUUGAACGCUGGCGGCAGGCCUAACACAUGCAAGUCGAACGGUAACAGGAAACAGCUUGCUGUUUCGCUGACGAGUGGCGGACGGGUGAGUAAUGUCUGGGAAACUGCCUGAUGGAGGGGGAUAACUACUGGAAACGGUAGCUAAUACCGCAUAACGUCGCAAGACCAAAGAGGGGGACCUUCGGGCCUCUUGCCAUCGGAUGUGCCCAGAUGGGAUUAGCUAGUAGGUGGGGUAACGGCUCACCUAGGCGACGAUCCCUAGCUGGUCUGAGAGGAUGACCAGCCACACUGGAACUGAGACACGGUCCAGACUCCUACGGGAGGCAGCAGUGGGGAAUAUUGCACAAUGGGCGCAAGCCUGAUGCAGCCAUGCCGCGUGUAUGAAGAAGGCCUUCGGGUUGUAAAGUACUUUCAGCGGGGAUGAAGGGAGUAAAGUUAAUACCUUUGCUCAUUGACGUUACCCGCAGAAGAAGCACCGGCUAACUCCGCG